UGAGGAACGAUAAUCGAACUAUCGGUAGUAGAUUGAAUAGACCUUGGUUUCCCUAGUCAAUUAUUGUACGCUUGACAGUAUAGAAGACGUACAGAAUAUGGUAUAUAGAUUCUAGAAAUUUCGUGAAAGUUAGUUACAACGAGAUUUUCGACGAAUUCGAGUUUACUCACUUCAGAAAUUCAAUAUUCUGGUUUAUACGCGUAACCGAGCAUUACAUAUUGCAAUCAAUCCAAGUAUAAUUGUUUAUUUAAUAUAAUCUAACGAUCAUUUAAUAUUCAAAAUGUCUUUGUUUGGAUCUUUAAUGGGCGAUUUCGACGAUGAUCCUAUAUUUGGAUCUCAUAUGCGUACCAUGAGGCAGAUGAACAGCAUAAUGAACUCUCUUUUUACUGAUCCUUUUGGAAUGAUGGGUCAGAAUGCGUUGACCGAUUCUCAACAACGAAGUGGGAUACAUCAUAAUGAAAUGCAAAUGAUGCCCUUUGCUUUUCCAACGAUGCCAACUAUGAACUUUAAUAGAUUAUUCACUAAUUUUGAUAAUUUGGCAUCAAAUGGAAAUUGUCAUUCCUUUACGAGUAGUUCUGUAACAACUAUGGCCAGUGGUGCAGAUGGACGUCCGCAAGUUUACCAAGAAACAAUGUCUACAAGAACUGCACCCGGUGGAGUAAAAGAAACCAAAAAAACUGUAUGUGAUACAAGAACUGGAACGAAGAAAAUGGCUAUCGGUCAUCAUAUUGGAGAUAGAGCCCAUAUUCGUGAAAGGGAACAUAACCUUCAUAACGGAGAGCAAGAAGAACACGAAGAGUUCAUUAAUCUUGAUGAAGAUGAAGCUGAGAGUUUCAACAACGAGUGGGAAUCUUGUACAAGACGAUCGGCAGGUGCAAUUGCUGGACCACAUCAUAGUUCAUAUCCUAACUACAAUAGACGUCGUCCUGAUUACAAGCAAUUGGCUUUGCCUGAUGCAUCAGGAAGAUAUAAGAAGCAUGGAAGAAAAUCUGGUAGAAAAAUGUGAUUACAAUACUUUGGCUGAAUCCAAAUCUCUUGGUGCAUUCCUUCUCUUCAACUUUGUCUCUGAGGGGCUAGCAUCUUCUGAAGCUGCCCAUCAAAAAAAGACUACUACAGGAUAUCGAAAACGUGAACAUACUCCAGACACCGA
This 1150-nucleotide unclassified non-coding RNA is filed under the name Polistes dominula (European paper wasp). RNAcentral describes it as "myeloid leukemia factor, transcript variant X1". Lineage: Eukaryota; Metazoa; Arthropoda; Insecta; Hymenoptera; Vespidae. The record is from RNAcentral.